This 253-nucleotide ribosomal RNA is filed under the name uncultured prokaryote. RNAcentral's name for it is "partial 16S ribosomal RNA". It matches the Rfam family "Bacterial small subunit ribosomal RNA", at positions 524 to 776 of the family's 1533-position model. The record is from RNAcentral.
UACAGAGGGUGCAAGCGUUGUUCGGAAUUAUUGGGCGUAAAGCGCGUGUAGGCGGUUUCUUAAGUCUGAUGUGAAAGCCCCGGGCUCAACCUGGGAAGUGCAUUGGAAACUGGGAAACUUGAGUACGGGAGAGGGCAGUGGAAUUCCUAGUGUAGGAGUGAAAUCCGUAGAUAUUAGGAGGAACACCGGUGGCGAAGGCGGCAUCCUGGACCGGUAUUGACGCUGAGGCGCGAAAGCCAGGGGAGCAAACGGG